CCAGCAUUUGCGGUAAUUCCAGCUCCAAUAGCGUAUAUGUAAAUUGUUGCGGUUGAAAAGCUCGUAGUUGGACUUCUGGAGGCCGAGAUCGGUCCGCCAAGCGCGAGCACUGGUCUCGGUCUUCGUCUCUGUCGACGUGGCUCGCCCGGACUUGAUUGGCCGGCUUGCUAUCUGUCGGCGACGUUACUUUGAGGAAAUCAGAGUGCUCAAGGCAAGCGUUCGCUCGUGACUUCACUAGCAUGGAAUAACACAGAUGGGCUCUUUCUCGCACUGUUGGUCUGCGUCAAUUGAGCAACGAUCGAUAGAGACGGUCGGGGGCAUUCGUAUUGCGCAGUUAGAGGUGAAAUUCUCCGAUCUGCGCAAGACGCACUAAUGCGAAAGCAGUUGCCAAGGACGUCCUCUUAUGAUCAAGAGCGAAAGUCGGGGGAUCAAAGAUGAUUAGAUACCGUCGUAGUCCCGACCAUAAAUGAUGCCGACUGAGCUUCGGCGACUCGGCCCUGGGCCGGACGUCGGCGCUCUUAGAGAAAUUAAAGUCUUUGGGCUCCGGGGGUAGUAUGGUCGCAAGUCUGAAACUUGAAGGAAUUGACGGAAGGGCACCACAAGGCGUGGAUGUUGCGGCUUAAUUUGACUCAACACGGGAAAGCUUACUAGGUUUGGACACUUGAAUGAGGGACAUAUUGAAGCUCUUACCUUUUUUUGUGGAUGGUGGUGCAUGGUCGUUCUCAGCCCGUGGGUUGACCUGUCAGGUUUACUCCGGUAACGCGCGAGACCUCGGUUUGCUAAAUAGAGGCGGCUGUUUCGACACCCGCGCUCUUCUUAGAGAGAGACUCGACGAGAGUCGAGGGAAGUCGAGGCAAUAACAGAUCUGUGAUGCCCUUAGUUAUCCUAGGUCGCACGCGCCAUACAAUGUGGCGCACAACGAGUCUCCUAGGCCGACAGGAAAUCCCGCGUGUCGUCUCCGCGGCUGCCCCUCGGGUCGGCGCGGUGGCUCUCUGCGAGCGGCCCGCCGUCCGUCGUCGGCGGUCGCGCGAGGUCGCGCGGGAGGUUCUGGGCAAUCUGACAGAGCGCUACGUGACUGGGCUAGACUUUUGUAAUUGUUGGUCUUGAACGAGGAAUGCCUAGUAAUCGCAGGUCAUCAUCCUGAGAUGAUUCGGUCCCUGCCCUUUGUACACACCGCCCGUCGCUCCAUCCGUGGCAUGCGCCGGUGAAGAGGGGGAAGCAGCGUCGUCCG
This 1231-nucleotide ribosomal RNA is filed under the name Rhipiliopsis sp. LL7. RNAcentral's name for it is "bacterial SSU rRNA". It matches the Rfam family "Eukaryotic small subunit ribosomal RNA", at positions 567 to 1727 of the family's 1831-position model. Lineage: Eukaryota; Viridiplantae; Chlorophyta; Ulvophyceae; Bryopsidales; Halimedaceae. The record is from RNAcentral.